UGUAAGCGUAUACCAAAGUUGUUGCAGUUAAAACGCUCGUAGUCGGAAUUUGGCAGUUCCGGAUGUGUGCACGUCGUGUGCGCACUUCGCGGGGAUUGCUUUUGUGGUCUUGCGUAGGAUGAGGCACUUUUAUUAGUGAACGUCCUCACGCAACCACUUUUUACUGUGAGAAAAUCUGAGUGCUCAAAGCAGGCAUUUGCCGUGAAUGUAUUAGCAUGGAAUAAUAGAAUAGGACUUGGUUCUAUUUUGUUGGUUUGUUGGGACUGAGUAAUGAUUAAGAGGGACAGUUGGGGGCAUUUGUAUUUCGGUGCUAGAGGUGAAAUUCUUAGAUUACCGAAAGACAAACUGCUGCGAAAGCGUCUGCCAAGGAUGUUUUCAUUGA
This 382-nucleotide ribosomal RNA is filed under the name uncultured eukaryote. Its description in RNAcentral is "partial 18S ribosomal RNA". It matches the Rfam family "Eukaryotic small subunit ribosomal RNA", at positions 592 to 976 of the family's 1831-position model. The record is from RNAcentral.